AGUUUAACGGUCCGGGCAACUGUUGUGUAAAGGGUCGCCGGUGUAUGUUCGUGUGACCGAAAUUAUGCAGCUCCGCAUGAAAAUGCGGAGUGAAGGACGCAGCAGGGAAACCUGCAAUGACCGUCGUGCAAAGGAUCACAGAAACACGCCACUAAUGUCAACUGACAGAGUGGAAAAAUGUGGCUUUACGGAAAUGUUCGCGUAAAAUUUCCGGGGCUGCAAUAGUAAAUGAUGUACCUGGUA
This 243-nucleotide unclassified non-coding RNA is filed under the name uncultured archaeon. RNAcentral describes it as "intergenic spacer". The record is from RNAcentral.